RNAcentral lists this non-coding RNA (114 nucleotides) under Desulfovibrio piger. RNAcentral's name for it is "TPP sequence". It matches the Rfam family "TPP riboswitch aptamer (THI element)". Rfam says of the family: Vitamin B(1) in its active form thiamin pyrophosphate (TPP) is an essential coenzyme that is synthesised by coupling of pyrimidine and thiazole moieties in bacteria. The previously detected thiamin-regulatory element, thi box was extended, resulting in a new, highly conserved RNA secondary structure, the THI element, which is widely distributed in eubacteria and also occurs in some archaea. Lineage: Bacteria; Pseudomonadati; Thermodesulfobacteriota; Desulfovibrionia; Desulfovibrionales; Desulfovibrionaceae. The record is from RNAcentral.
CCCGCCAGCUAGGGGAGCCGUGAACGGCAGUUGCACGGCUGAGAGUGGGAUAGUCCCAGACCCUGUGAACCUGACGCAGUUCGCACUGCCGUAGGGAAGCUGAGCCGCACCCGC